Molecule: ribosomal RNA, 414 nt
Filed under: uncultured microorganism
Description: bacterial SSU rRNA
Rfam family: Archaeal small subunit ribosomal RNA
Source: RNAcentral
CAGCCGCCGCGGUAAUACCGGCGGCCCGAGUGGCGGUCACUAUUAUUGGGCUUAAAGCGUCCGUAGCCGGGUUGGGAAGUCCUCCGGGAAAUCUGGCCGCUUAACGGUCCGAAUGCCGGAGGAUACUCCCAGCCUAGGGAGCGGGAGAGGCCCAGGGGAUUCCCGGAUGCGGGGUGGAAUCCUAUAAUCCCGGGAGGACCACCUGUGGCGAAGGCGCUCGGCUGGAACGCGUCCGACGGUGAGGGACGAAGGCCAGGGGAGCAAACCGGAUUAGAUACCCGGGUAGUCCUGGCUGUAAACGAUGCGGACUUUGUGUCGGACAAGCUAUGAGCUUGUCCGGUGCCGGAGGGAAACCGUUAAGUCCGCCGCCUGGGGAGUACGGCCGCAAGGCUGAAACUUAAAGGAAUUGGCGGG